Molecule: ribosomal RNA, 230 nt
Filed under: uncultured bacterium
Lineage: Bacteria
Description: partial 16S ribosomal RNA
Rfam family: Bacterial small subunit ribosomal RNA
Source: RNAcentral
GCUCUGGCUCAGGACGAACGCUGGCGGCGUGCCUAAUACAUGCAAGUAGAACGCUGAAGGAGAAGCUUGCUUCUCUGGAUGAGUUGCGAACGGGUGAGUAACGCGUAGGUAACCUGCCUGGUAGCGGGGGAUAACUAUUGGAAACGAUAGCUAAUACCGCAUAACAGUAGAUGUUGCAUGACAUUUGCUUAAAAGGUGCAAUUGCAUCACUACCAGAUGGACCUGCGUUG